CCACACUUGUUGCUGGAAGGUGAUUUCUACUUUAUGAGCCUGGGAGGGUUAAGUAAUUGACUAUUGUAUGGGUUACAAAACAACGUGGAUGACUCACAUAUGGUGUCAUCCAUAUAGAUGAUGUCAUUCAUAUUCCACCGUACGUGGCAGGUCGGACGGCAUCUAAUUUACUCAUCUUGCCUGCAUCGUCCCCUUGUGAAUGUGGUUGUAACUGAGGUAAUUGCCCUGAGAUAAUGACCAGAGUUGUGUUUGUAAGCAUUAAUGUGCUGUAUACGAUACCUGUUUGUCACACCCACAGCUCCCCACUGCCACGCUGGACACAUUAGCAUACAGAGCUAUGAGUGACACACCUGGCUUUGUGUGUGCGUGUGUGUGUGCGCGUCUCCAUCCAUGCGUGAGUUGUGCGUCGGCGGAGCUAUGAAUGGGCAGAGAGGGGUGUUCUCUCACAGACACCAUAGCAGCAGUGAGAUGAGGAGUGCCAUCUACUCCACUGCUCGUCUGCUGCACUGAGAGAAGAAGAAAAAGAAGCAAGAAGGGGGGGAAAAGGAGUUGCACAGCCAGAGGACAAGGUGAUCCCUCCUAAACCUGCAUCAGCACUGAGGAGAAAACCUUCAAGUGAGCCAUGGAGCAGAAAGCUAAUGAGUGUCCCACCACCACCUCUCCUCAGAAGCACAUGAAGAACAGGUCUAAAUCCACGGAGGAGAUGCAGCAGUCGAAGAAGGCCUUUGCUUCACAAAAAUCCCUGCCAGGCCGACCAGAGCUGGACAGAGUGAAGGAGUGUCCUGACGGCUCUGACACGCCCUCAUCCUCCAGCGAAGAACUAAAGUGACAAAAAAAAACAAAAAACAAACAAGACAAUGAAGUUGCAUUCAAGCUAUACUAUCAUCAUAAACAUAAAUGUACAUAUGUACACAGGGAAACAUGCAGGAAUAGCAAGCUGGAAUACAAAACAAGCAAGCAUGAAUUAAAGACGAGCUUAAGGAAAGUGUAUAUAAAGAGAACAUGAUUCACACACAGACCCACAAACACACUGAGACAAUCGCAUGUAUACAAAAGGACACCUGUGAUGAUGCCGUUUCAUUGUGCUAUGAGUGGUGUCGACAUACCAACUGAAUGUGUAGUGACAAUAAAGUGAUGUUGUGUGUGCUGAAA
Molecule: long non-coding RNA, 1152 nt
Organism: Stegastes partitus (bicolor damselfish)
Lineage: Eukaryota; Metazoa; Chordata; Actinopteri; Pomacentridae
Exons: 5
Source: RefSeq, a predicted model, not a curated record